ACUGCUAUGGUUCAUCUCCAUGGCUGCCAGAUUAUUGUUUAGCCGUAUCCAUACAUAGAUAUAUAUAUACAUAAUUUUAGACCUUAUGUUAUAAGCUACUGCAUUCAUACAUAUAUAUUUGGAUAUAAUUGUAGAUUUUCUAUCUGUUAUAAGCUACUGAAUCCAUGUAGUGAGUAUGUACAAAUGCUCAUUUCAUAUUUUAAAACAGAGUAGGCAUAACCAAAUGUAUAUGAGGUGUUCAAGGAAAUGUCUGACUGUACAACACAAUUGUGUUAAUAUUUUUUUUUACGAAUUGAUUUUAAGAUAUUUUAUUGUUGAUGUUUUGGAUGUGCUGGCAUGAAUUGUUAGUCUUACUGUAUUGGGUUUUUCAGUGGCAUUUAAAUCUUGGGAGGAUCAUAGAAAACAACUUGAAUUGGAGAAGGCUCGUAAAUCUGGGCUUGCACCAACGGAGGUUGAUGAAGAUGGCAAAGAGAUUAACUUUGAUAUUCCUCUAUAUGUCAUUUUUGAGAACCGAUGCUGAACAGAGAGAAGUAGAUACCUGGCACUUCAUGUAAACAGCCCCUUGGCUGGGUUUACUUCCCAGUGCUAAUGGGCAAGUAUUACAUUCUCAAGAUGGUGGAGAUAGUCCAAUUCUCAGUCUCUUUAAAUUAGUCACUGCUGCAAUAUUAUCUAAGCCAGGGAAAUCAAAUCCUUGUUUCCUGCCGAUUGCAGUCCAUUCUAAGCUGGUUUUGGAAAUAGAGAUACAGAUGAAGUUAGCUACCUUAAGGUCGGAAUUCCAUUAGGAAAAAAUUACUAUGCCUGAAAAUGAGCAAAGUCAGAACUGAAAGAGCUUCUUCAGAGCUUUGGAAGGUUGCGGGUUUAGCUGUUGUUUGUGUUAUAUGUUUCACCUCUAAUGCUUUUGUAGGCAGUAAGAGCAGCUGAUUAUAGUAUUGGGAGUAAGUUGUUGAUACCUAAACCCCUCCUCUCACUUUUUGGAAACUUGACAGAACGAACAGGGUAGAGUGAUUUCUUUGGAGCAAUUCUUGACAACAUUUGUAGUUGAGGCCUUUAGAAUGGAAGAAUGUAUUUCACUAAUUUUUGUAUACAUUUCUUGUUUUGUAUUUAGUGAUAAAGGAAUCUGAAUUGGGCAUAAA
Molecule: long non-coding RNA, 1133 nt
Organism: Humulus lupulus (European hop)
Lineage: Eukaryota; Viridiplantae; Streptophyta; Magnoliopsida; Rosales; Cannabaceae
Exons: 4
Source: RefSeq, a predicted model, not a curated record